AUUGAACGCUGGUGGCAGGCCUAACACAUGCAAGUCGAGCGAGCGGCGGACGGGUGAGUAAUGUAUGGGGAUCUGCCCGAUCGAGGGGGAUAACUACUGGAAACGGUGGCUAAUACCGCAUACGAUCGGAUGAACCCAUAUGGGAUUGGCUAGUAGGUGGGGUAAAGGCUGACCUAGGCGACGAUCCCUGGCUGGUCUGAGUGGAUGAUCAGCCACACGGGAACAGAGACACGGCCCAGAUUCCCACGGGAGGCAGCAGUGGGGUGUAUUGCACAAUGGGCGCAAGCCUGAUGCAGCCAUGCCGCGUGUAUGAAGAAGGCCUUCGGGUUGUAAAGUACUUUCAGCGGGGAGUCGUUACCCGCAGAAGAAGCACCGGCUAACUCCGUGCCAGCAGCCGCGGUAAUUC
RNAcentral lists this ribosomal RNA (406 nucleotides) under uncultured bacterium. Its description in RNAcentral is "partial 16S ribosomal RNA". It matches the Rfam family "Bacterial small subunit ribosomal RNA", at positions 30 to 526 of the family's 1533-position model. The record is from RNAcentral.